Molecule: ribosomal RNA, 433 nt
Filed under: uncultured bacterium
Lineage: Bacteria
Description: partial 16S ribosomal RNA
Rfam family: Bacterial small subunit ribosomal RNA
Source: RNAcentral
AGCGAACGCUGGCGGCAGGCUUAACACAUGCAAGUCGAGCGGGCACUUCGGGGUCAUCGGCCGACGGGUGAGUAACACGUGGGAACGUAACCUUUGGUUUGGCAUAACGCUGGGAAACUAGCGCUAAUACCGGAUACGCCCUUUUGGGGGAAGGCUUGCUGCCGAAGUAGCGGCGCGCGUCUGAUUCGCUUGUGGGUUGGGUAAUGGCCUAACAAGGCGACGAUCAGUAGCUGGGCUGAGAGGAUGGUCAGCCACACUGGGACUGAGACACGGCCCAGACUCCUACGGGAAGCAGCAGUGGGGAAUAUUGGACAAUGGGCGCAAGCCUGAUGCAGCCAUGCCGCGUGAGUGAUGAAGGCCUUAGGGUUGUAAAGCUCUAUUGUCCGGGACGAUAAUGACGGUACCGGAAGAAUAAGCCCCGGCUAACUUCGUG